UACGGAGGGGGCUAGCGUUGUUCGGAAUUACUGGGCGUAAAGCGCACGUAGGCGGACUCUUAAGUCAGGGGUGAAAUCCUGGAGCUCAACUCCAGAACUGCCCUUGAUACUGGGAGCCUUGAGUUCGGGAGAGGUGAGUGGAACUGCGAGUGUAGAGGUGAAAUUCGUAGAUAUUCGCAAGAACACCAGCGGCGAAGGCGGCUCACUGGCCCGAUACUGACGCUGAGGUGCGAAAGCGUGGGGAGCAAAGCAGG
Molecule: ribosomal RNA, 254 nt
Filed under: uncultured bacterium
Lineage: Bacteria
Description: partial 16S ribosomal RNA
Rfam family: Bacterial small subunit ribosomal RNA
Source: RNAcentral